CAGUCGCCGCGGUAAGACGGAGGGUGCUAGAGUUGUUCGGAAUCACUGGGCGUAAAGGGCGCGUAGGCGGCCUGUUAAGUCGGAUGUGAAAGCCCGGGGCUCAACCCCGGAACUGCAUCCGAGACUGGCAGGCUUGAGACCGGGAGAGGAGGGUGGAAUAUCCAGUGUAGAGGUGAAAUUCGUAGAUAUUGGAUGGAACACCAAUUGCGAAGGCAGCUUACUAAGGUAUGAUUGACGCUGAUGCACGAAAGCGUGGGGAUCAAACAGGAUUAGAUACCCCCGUAGUCCCUGUCUCUUAUAC
RNAcentral lists this ribosomal RNA (301 nucleotides) under uncultured bacterium. RNAcentral describes it as "partial 16S ribosomal RNA". It matches the Rfam family "Bacterial small subunit ribosomal RNA", at positions 509 to 807 of the family's 1533-position model. The record is from RNAcentral.